Molecule: ribosomal RNA, 468 nt
Filed under: uncultured bacterium
Lineage: Bacteria
Description: partial 16S ribosomal RNA
Rfam family: Bacterial small subunit ribosomal RNA
Source: RNAcentral
GACGAACGCUGGCGGCGUGCUUAACACAUGCAAGUCGAACGGAAAGGCCCUGCUUUUGUGGGGUGCUCGAGUGGCGAACGGGUGAGUAACACGUGAGUAACCUGCCCUUGACUUUGGGAUAACUUCAGGAAACUGGGGCUAAUACCGGAUAGGAGCUCCUGCUGCAUGGUGGGGGUUGGAAAGUUUCGGCGGUUGGGGAUGGACUCGCGGCUUAUCAGCUUGUUGGUGGGGUAGUGGCUUACCAAGGCUUUGACGGGUAGCCGGCCUGAGAGGGUGACCGGCCACAGUGGGACUGAGAUACGGCACGGACUCCUACGGGAGGCAGCAGAGGGGAAUAAUGCACAAUGGGCGGAAGCCUGAUGCAGCAACGCCGCGUGCGGGAUGACGGCCUUCGGGUUGUAGACCGCUUUCGCCUGUGACGAAGCGUGAGUGACGGUAAUGGGUAAAGAAGCACCGGCUAACUACGUG